Molecule: ribosomal RNA, 407 nt
Filed under: uncultured bacterium
Lineage: Bacteria
Description: partial 16S ribosomal RNA
Rfam family: Bacterial small subunit ribosomal RNA
Source: RNAcentral
AUUGAACGCUGGCGGCAGGCCUAACACAUGCAAGUCGAACGGAGUGGCGGACGGGUGAGUAACGCGUAGGUAACUGCUUCAUAGCGGGGGAUAACUAUUGGAAACGAUAGCUAAUACCGCAUACUGUGAGAUGGACCUGCGUGGUAUUAGCUAGUUGGUGAGGUAAAGGCUCACCAAGGCGACGAUACAUAGCCGACCUGAGAGGGUGAUCGGCCACCCUGGGGCUGGGACACAGCACAAACUCCUCCGGGAGGCCGCCAUAAGGAAACUUCGGCAAAGGACUGAAGUCUGGACGAGCAACGCCGGGGGAGUGAAGAAAGUUUUCGGGUCGUAAAGCUCUGUUGUUAGAGAAGCGGUAACUAACCAGAAAGGGACGGCUAACUACGUGCCAGCAGCCGCGGGAAUUC